AUACGGAGGGUGCAAGCGUUGUUCGGAAUUACUGGGCGUAAAGCGCGCGUAGGUGGUCUGUUAUGUCAGAUGUGAAAGUCCACGGCUCAACCGUGGAAGUGCAUUUGAAACUGGCAGACUUGAGUACUGGAGGGGGUAGUGGAAUUCCCGGUGUAGAGGUGAAAUUCGUAGAUAUCGGGAGGAAUACCGGUGGCGAAGGCGACUACCUGGCCAGAUACUGACGCUCAUGUACGAAAGCGUGGGUAGCAAACAGGAUUAGAAACCCUAGUAGUCC
RNAcentral lists this ribosomal RNA (274 nucleotides) under uncultured bacterium. RNAcentral's name for it is "partial 16S ribosomal RNA". It matches the Rfam family "Bacterial small subunit ribosomal RNA", at positions 523 to 796 of the family's 1533-position model. The record is from RNAcentral.